AUAACUAAGAAUUUAAAAUUAAAUCCAACGGAGAAAGUCAUUAGACUCAGUCAAUUGUCUGAUAUUGAACUCAAAAUCUUAAAUUAAUCCAUUAAGUAAAAAGGAAAAAGAAAAAAAAAUUCUUAUAGCAACAUCUACUCUCGACAACUUUCAAUUCACUCGUGGAUCCAAGUAAUCCGGCAGCUCGCUUCUCAAAGGUUUAUAAAAUUUCUCAUUAGUGUACAGAAAGCUUCAAAACAGAUCCACAAGAUCGUUCCCAGAGAAAUAUGAACAAUAUCUAACAGUGAAAAAUGAACUAGGCCAGUGCACUUUGGUGAUUAUA
Molecule: long non-coding RNA, 322 nt
Filed under: Olea europaea (common olive)
Lineage: Eukaryota; Viridiplantae; Streptophyta; Magnoliopsida; Lamiales; Oleaceae
Description: long non-coding RNA (OEUR_LNC001727)
Source: RNAcentral